Molecule: ribosomal RNA, 428 nt
Filed under: uncultured prokaryote
Description: bacterial SSU rRNA
Rfam family: Bacterial small subunit ribosomal RNA
Source: RNAcentral
UGAGGAAUAUUGCGCAAUGGGGGCAACCCUGACGCAGCAACGCCGCGUGAGUGAGGAAGGUUUUCGGACCGUAAAGCUCUGUCGAGCGGGAAGAAAUGUAUCGUGGCUAAUAUCCAUGAUAUUUGACGGUACCGCUAAAGGAAGCACCGGCUAACUCCGUGCCAGCAGCCGCGGUAAUACGGGGGGUGCAAGCGUUGUUCGGAAUUAUUGGGCGUAAAGAGCGUGUAGGCGGCUGAAUAAGUCAGAUGUGAAAUCCCUGGGCUUAACCCAGGAAGUGCAUUUGAAACUAUUCAGCUUGAGUAGGGGAGAGGAAAGUGGAAUUCCUGGUGUAGAGGUGAAAUUCGUAGAUAUCAGGAGGAACACCAGUGGCGAAGGCGAUUUCCUGGCCUGAUACUGACGCUGAGGCGCGAAAGCGUGGGGAGCAAACA